GAUGAACGCUGGCGGCGUGCCUAAUACAUGCAAGUCGAGCGAACAGACGAGGAGCUUGCUCCUCUGACGUUAGCGGUGGACGGGUGAGUAACACGUGGAUAACCUACCUAUAAGACUGGGAUAACUUCGGGAAACCGGAGCUAAUACCGGAUAACAUGUUGAACCGCAUGGUUCAACAGUGAAAGACGGUCUUGCUGUCACUUAUAGAUGGAUCCGCGCUGCAUUAGCUAGUUGGUAAGGUAACGGCUUACCAAGGCAACGAUGCGUAGCCGACCUGAGAGGGUGAUCGGCCACACUGGAACUGAGACACGGUCCAGACUCCUACGGGAGGCAGCAGUAGGGAAUCUUCCGCAAUGGGCGAAAGCCUGACGGAGCAACGCCGCGUGAGUGAAGAAGGUCUUCGGAUCGUAAAACUCUGUUAUUAGGGAAGAACAAAUGUGUAAGUAACUAUGCACGUCUUGACGGUACCUAAUCAGAAAGCCACGGCUAACUACGUG
RNAcentral lists this ribosomal RNA (497 nucleotides) under uncultured bacterium. RNAcentral describes it as "partial 16S ribosomal RNA". It matches the Rfam family "Bacterial small subunit ribosomal RNA", at positions 28 to 507 of the family's 1533-position model. The record is from RNAcentral.